UGGGGAAUAUUGGACAAUGGGGGAAACCCUGAUCCAGCCAUGCCGCGUGAAUGAUGAAGGCCUUCGGGUUGUAAAGUUCUUUUAGUAGGGACGAUAAUGACGGUACCUACAGAAUAAGCUCCGGCUAACUUCGUGCCAGCAGCCGCGGUAAUACGAAGGGAGCUAGCGUUGUUCGGAAUUACUGGGCGUAAAGGGCGCGUAGGCGGUUUAACAAGUCAGAUGUGAAAGCCCAAGGCUCAACCUUGGAAUUGCGUUCGAUACUGUUUUUCUUGAAUUCGGGGGAGGGGAGUGGAAUUCCCAGUGUAGGGGUGAAAUUCGUAGAGAUUGGGAAGAACACCGGUGGCGAAGGCGGCUCACUGGACCGAUAUUGACGCUGAGGCGCGAAAGUGUGGGGAGCAAACA
Molecule: ribosomal RNA, 402 nt
Filed under: uncultured prokaryote
Description: bacterial SSU rRNA
Rfam family: Bacterial small subunit ribosomal RNA
Source: RNAcentral